AGUGAACGCUGGCGGUAGGCCUAACACAUGCAAGUCGAACGGCAGCACAGUAAGAGCUUGCUCUUACGGGUGGCGAGUGGCGGACGGGUGAGGAAUACAUCGGAAUCUACUUUUUCGUGGGGGAUAACGUAGGGAAACUUACGCUAAUACCGCAUACGACCUACGGGUGAAAGCAGGGGAUCUUCGGACCUUGCGCGAUUGAAUGAGCCGAUGUCGGAUUAGCUAGUUGGCGGGGUAAAGGCCCACCAAGGCGGCGAUCCGUAGCUGGUCUGAGAGGAUGAUCGCCCACACUAGAGCUUGGACACGGUCCAUACUCCUACGGGAGGGAGCAGUCGGGAAUAUUGGACAAUGGGCGCAAGCCUGAUCCAGCCAUACCGCGUGGGUGAAGAAGGCCUUCGGGUUGUAAAGCCCUUUUGUUGGGAAAGAACAGCAGCAGGUUAAUACCCCGCUGUUCUGACGGUACCCAAAGAAUAAGCACCGGCUAACUUCGUG
This 492-nucleotide ribosomal RNA is filed under the name uncultured bacterium. Its description in RNAcentral is "partial 16S ribosomal RNA". It matches the Rfam family "Bacterial small subunit ribosomal RNA", at positions 29 to 507 of the family's 1533-position model. The record is from RNAcentral.